CCUGCCGCCUAAAAGGUUCGGCUGGAGACAACGAAGCUGGUUUAUUAACGAUGGCUUGCAUAAGAUAGGCACAUUCGUGAUCUACCCUGUAGAUCCG
This 97-nucleotide microRNA precursor is filed under the name Neodiprion lecontei (redheaded pine sawfly). Lineage: Eukaryota; Metazoa; Arthropoda; Insecta; Hymenoptera; Diprionidae. The record is from RNAcentral.